This 363-nucleotide long non-coding RNA is filed under the name Olea europaea (common olive). Its description in RNAcentral is "long non-coding RNA (OEUR_LNC004824)". Lineage: Eukaryota; Viridiplantae; Streptophyta; Magnoliopsida; Lamiales; Oleaceae. The record is from RNAcentral.
UCCUUUGUCCUUCGUGACAAAAAGGGGGAGUAGAUAUUUUGGAUAGAGUUGGAUAGAUAGAUAUCGAUUUUUUGGUAAUUGUGAUAUAAAGAUGAUGUGUAUAUAAUUCAUGACUAGAUUAAGUUUUUGAUGUUUUGGCAAUAUUAAUGUAUGUUUUUGGUGUUUUUGACUUACAUUAUUAUUGCUUCUUAAUCUGGUUAAUGACGUAUGAUCUAUUUCUUGUUUUUAUUUACUGUUUCCAUUUCACAUGCUUUUACACUUGGUAUUUGAGUUUUUGAUUUUCAGGAAACAGGUUCAACAAGAGAUAGCUGCUUUGGUUGAAUAGAUAGGUUGUUUGGAGUCAUUUUUAUUUAUGUCCUUGAC